UACGGAGGAUGCGAGCGUUAUCCGGAUUUAUUGGGUUUAAAGGGUGCGUAGGCGGACUGUCAAGUCAGCGGUAAAAUUGAGAGGCUCAACCUCUUCCCGCCGUUGAAACUGGUGGUCUUGAGUGGAUGAGAAGUACGCGAAAUGCGUGGUGUAGCGGUGAAAUGCAUAGAUAUCACGCAGAACUCCGAUUGCGAAGGCAGCGUACCGGCAUCCAACUGACGCUGAGGCACGAAAGCGUGGGGAUCAAACAGG
This 252-nucleotide ribosomal RNA is filed under the name uncultured bacterium. Its description in RNAcentral is "partial 16S ribosomal RNA". It matches the Rfam family "Bacterial small subunit ribosomal RNA", at positions 524 to 776 of the family's 1533-position model. The record is from RNAcentral.